Vicia faba (fava bean) is the source of this 240-nucleotide non-coding RNA. The record is from the annotation of a GenBank genome assembly. Lineage: Eukaryota; Viridiplantae; Streptophyta; Magnoliopsida; Fabales; Fabaceae.
AUGUUGGUGGAGGCUGGAACACCAUGCACCUGUUGGUUGAAUUUGCCAUUCUUAGUGGCAAAGUUUCUGCUUGUAGAUUCUUGUGCUCCUUACAAUAUUUUGUAUUUAUUAUCUUUUACUACUUUAGUAUUUAUUUUUGGUGUUAUAGUUUGCACCAAAAUAGUACGUAAUUUGAUAAAAGCAUUAGAUAAAAUAAUGAGACGACAAGUAACCAAAAUCAAUGCUAUGUACGACAAGUAA